Long non-coding RNA from Armigeres subalbatus, 1062 nucleotides. RefSeq lists it as uncharacterized. The transcript has 3 exons. The record is from RefSeq and is a predicted model, not a curated record. NCBI's taxonomy places the organism in Eukaryota, Metazoa, Arthropoda, Insecta, Diptera, Culicidae.
UGUGUUCACUAAUACCACAGCAGCUCUCCUCAAUGACAGUUCGAGGUAAACAAUCCUGAAAAUGAAUGCACAUCAGCUUAGCUCGAUCAGCUAAUGUCCUCCAAUCGCAAAAAAAGUGAAUAGCAUCAAAGAUAUUUAAAAGGAACAGAAAAACUACAAUAAGGCAAGAAUGAAAAACUUCGACGGCCAAAGAACAAAAAAGCUAUGGAUUUGCUUACGCUAACAAAUAGAAGGAAUAGCCGUGCCCGACAAUUGUCCGUAUGUUCCUCAAAUCGGAGUUGCACCAUCUCACCGAGUCAAAGGACAGUAUUAUGGUUUCUGAAGCCUGAUCCGGAACUCACAAACAUCCUUCACUUGUUCCGAUGCGCAAAUAUACAAAUUCUACUAGCACAAGGACAUCUAGCAAAUGGAUCACACUUGCCAGAGUACCGACGACGGACUUCCCUUACCUGAGCAAAUUUUUCAAGCACUUGGUCCGUCUGAAAACACAAAAUGACCAGAUGAAUGCGGUACGGCUCCACCCGAUACGACGUACGUUUUAUUCCCAGCUAUGCUGCUGCCCGGGAAACCGAUGGCGAUUUUAUCGCAUUCCGUUUGGUUUUAGCUCGAGCGAGUCGCAGAAGGAAAGAUGUGAAAGAUGUAGAAUGAAAUUCAAGCACCACUUCGACAGGUCAACUUUUCGUUGAAUCAGAAGUAUUCGAUCACGAAUAUGUAACCAUUGCUGGCCUGACGAUAAAAAGCGGAUACCGUCAUACGAAAAGUAUCCCACAUAUACUGCCGAAUAACGUCCAAUGCACAACGGAAUGAAGCAUCUGGAGAUCCAUCUGCAUUCGUCAUCUUGGGUCAUUGCUCAUGAAAGUUCGGCCGAGAAGAAACUAUCUCUUCGUAAGGAGUUGGAGGAACGCCUGAACCUCUCAAGUUGACUUUAGACGUUGUAAAACUGGAUGCUGAACGAGCUAUUAAAGAUCUACAGUAUCAUAUAAAGUUCAUCACUAAAACAAUUAUAAACAACAAACUAAGUGAAAAUGAUUUACUUUUCAUUAAAAAGAAUAAAAAGAAAAA